Anser cygnoides (Swan goose) is the source of this 2178-nucleotide long non-coding RNA. NCBI's taxonomy places the organism in Eukaryota, Metazoa, Chordata, Aves, Anseriformes, Anatidae. The record is from Ensembl.
AUGGGGGAUUUGUGCAAGGGAAAGGCACGAGCGCCGGGUGUCUGCCUCGCUCUUGGUGUUUGUCCGGCUGCGGUGCCGGGGCUGCUCUUGGUGGCACGGGGACGCCUUCUUGAAGCAGCCAGGCACGGUGGGGAGGAGGGAUGGGAACCACGAUGCAGAAAGGGCUGGCGUGCCCGUCCUGCCCUCGCUCACCUGCAAACCCUGCCAGGGGCUGCAGGAGCAGAGCUGGGCAGCAUCUCCCGUGCGGCCGAUAGCGCCGAGCUGCCUCCGGACGUGUCACCCACCGUGGCCAGGCUGGGCAUGUGCCAGGUGUCCCCCAGCAGCGCAGCCAGUCCGCCGGAGCAGCCCUCUGUCCCCGGGGACAGUUCAGGUAACGCCACUCGGAGCAGGUCCCUGCCUGCCGGGGAGCUUGUCCCGGCACUGCCGAGCGCGACGCACACGCCGCCGGGCGCAGGUAGGAGCGCCUUGUCCCUCCUCGCGGGUGAUGUAGGGACGGAGGUGACGGCAGCACAGGUCCCCACGAGCUCCAGCAAGGAGGAGGAGGAGCCCCCCGGCACAGCAGCUCUCUCUGAAGGGUUGGCAGCACGGGAUAUUCCCCAGGCAGGGGCUGGGUUUUCCUCCCCGAACCCUGCUGGCCAUCCGCCCAGUGUCCCUCCAGCUCCUGCCACCCCUCAGCUGCUGUCCCCUGUGCCAGCAGGGCACGCGGUGGCUCUCACCGGCGGUGGGCCAGCCACAGCCAUGUUGUCCCCAGCUCCAUCUGUCCCCAAUGAGAAGGGGACAGGCAGAACAGUGCCAUCAGGCAGCAGCACUGCCCCUCAGCAGGCUCCGGAGGUGUUCAGGGGGCUGGAGAACAUUGCUGGAGAGCCAAAACCGGGAACAGCCGCCCCUGUAGAGCAAAGGACCGUGCCCAAAGCACUUACAGGUGGUGCCAGUACGCUGACGGGUCACGUCCCAGCACCAGGCGGAGGUUUGUCUCCACCAGUGGCACUUGUCCUUGCUGCUCAACCGGUGCUGGGGACAAAAGCAUCUUCCUCAGCCACAAGCAAAGCGACCGAUGCCAGUGAGUUGGCGCAGCCCUACAGCGCUGUCACCGCAGAGGGGACGCUGGGGACAGCGUGGACCACCGUGCCAUCCCGUGUCGAACACAGCACAGGGACAGCACCCCCUGCCAUCAGCAAGAGUCCCACUGAGCCAUACGCAACCACCGCGCUCCCGUCCCAAAAGGCCACACCAGAGCUGGACACGGCCACCUCUCCUCCUGCCACUGCAGCCAGCAUCUCGCCGGCCUCCCCCGGGGACACGGGCCACUCCGUGGAGCCACCAGCAGCCCUGGCUGGCUGUGUCACCGACCCCACCAUGUCAGCAGCCACCGGGGCUCCUCUCCAUGCAGCCACAGAAGGAUCCAGGACCCCACUGCCUGCAGUCCCCCCAGAAGCAUCCUCAGCAGCGGUCACCUUUCCUCCUGCCACUGCUGCUGUCAGCGAGGCUGCGGAGCCAGGGACACCAGCCCCUGGCACUGCUGGAGCUGGGCUGCUUGGAUCCAACCCUGCCACCCGUCCCCGUGCCACCACACCGUCCCUGGGACCACCAGCCGUGGCCCUGGAUGUCACCGCCACAGCGCACGGCCCCACCGCGCCGCUUCCAGCCCUGGGAAAUGCUGAGCUGGUGGCCGCUGGUGCUGGAGCCACAACGGGCACUGCCGCCCUGCACAGCGAGGCCACCCCCAUGCAGCUGGACGCGGGGCAGGUCCCCAGCACGGCCCCUGCUGUGUCACUCCCUGGUGGUGGCCUCUCCCCUGGGUCCUCCUCUGCAGUCCCCAGGACCACCACGGCACAGGCGGAUGGGGACAGAUCCCCUCCGGCCAGCCCCAGCGUGGGCACGUCCUUGUCCCUCACGGAUGGAGCAAAGCCGACGUCUUCCCUCCAAGGGUAUGGCACCGGGACCCAGCCAGCUGCCCUCAUUAGCAAAACUCCAAUUAGUGAAGCAGGGCUGGGGACAGCAUCACCAGCCAGCAGUGACACUACUGUGAUAGCGUGGGAUGGCAGCUCCAGUGCCACCCCAGCUGCUUCAGGGGUACCCAGGACACUCAGCACCACUAAGGUACCGUGGGCAAGCAUCCCGUGGGACAGCAGUGCCACUGCAGGGGUGGCAGUGGGGGUGUCCCCAUCCAGCAGCCCC